RNA transcript from Mandrillus leucophaeus (drill), 635 nucleotides. It is a transcript of the gene named calmodulin-alpha-like, with no coding region annotated. The transcript has a single exon. The record is from RefSeq and is a predicted model, not a curated record. Lineage: Eukaryota; Metazoa; Chordata; Mammalia; Primates; Cercopithecidae.
GGAGCAAGCGAACUGAGUGGUUGUGUAGUCACGUCUCAGAAACUGGUUGCACUAGCAGCAUGGUUGGCCAACUGACUGAAGAGCAGAUUGCAGAAUUCAAAGAAGCUUUUUCACUAUUUGACAAAGAUGGUGAUGGAACUAUAACAACAAAGGAAUUGGGAGCUGUAAUGACGUCUCUUGGGCAGAAUCCCACAGAAGCAGAGUUACAGGACAUGAUUAGUGAAGUAGAUGCCCAAUGGUAAUGGCACAGUUGACUUCCGUGAAUUUCUGACAAUGAUGGCAAGAAAAAUAAAAGACACAGACAGUGAAGAAGAAAUUAGAGAAACAUUCAGUGUGUUUGAGAAGGAUGGCAAUGGCUCUAUUAGUGCUGCAGAACUUCACCAUGUGAUGACAAACCUUGGAGAGAAGUUAACAGUUGAAGAAGUUGAUGAAAUUAUCAGGGAAGCAGAUACUGAUGGUAACAGUCAAGUAAACUAAGAAGACUUUGUACAGAUGAUGUCAGCAAAGCGAAGACCUUGUACAAAAUGUGUUAAAUUUCUUGUACAAAAUUGUUACUUGCCUUUUUUUUUGUCACUUAUCUGUGAAAGGUUUCUCCCUACUGCCAAAAAAAAAAUGCAUGUAUAGUAAUUAGGACU